GCCUGGGUGGCUCAGUUGGUUAAGCGUCUGACUUCGGCUCAGGUCAUGAUCUCGUGGUUCGUGAGUUCAAGCCCCGCAUCGGGCU
RNAcentral lists this transfer RNA (85 nucleotides) under Felis catus (domestic cat). It matches the Rfam family "tRNA". Rfam says of the family: Transfer RNA (tRNA) molecules are approximately 80 nucleotides in length. Their secondary structure includes four short double-helical elements and three loops (D, anti-codon, and T loops). Further hydrogen bonds mediate the characteristic L-shaped molecular structure. tRNAs have two regions of fundamental functional importance: the anti-codon, which is responsible for specific mRNA codon recognition, and the 3' end, to which the tRNAs corresponding amino acid is attached (by aminoacyl-tRNA synthetases). tRNAs cope with the degeneracy of the genetic code in two manners: having more than one tRNA (with a specific anti-codon) for a particular amino acid; and 'wobble' base-pairing, i.e. permitting non-standard base-pairing at the 3rd anti-codon position. The record is from Rfam by way of RNAcentral. Lineage: Eukaryota; Metazoa; Chordata; Mammalia; Carnivora; Felidae.